GUCUGUGGCUCCGUUCGUUCGUUCGUCCGUCUGUGCGCCCGUUCAGGUUAAAGUUUUUGGUCAAGGUAGUUUUUGAUGAAGCUGAAGUCCAAUCAACUUGAAACGUAGUACACUUGUUGCUUAUGAUAUGAUCUUUCUAAUUUUAAGGCCCAGUUAGACUUUUGGCCCCAAUUUCACGGUCCACUGAACAUAGAAAAUGAAAGUGGGAGUUUCAGGUUAAAGUUUUUGGUCAAGGUAGUUUUUGAUGAAGCUGAAGUCCAAUCAACUUGAAACUUAGUACACUUGUUGCUUAUGAUAUAUUCUUUCUUAUUUUAAAGCCAAAUUAGACUUUUGACUCCAAUUUCACGGUCCACUAAACAUAGAAAAUGAAAGUGGGAGUUUCAGGUUAAAGUUUUUGGUCAAGGUAGUUUUUGAUGAAAUUGAAGUCCAAUCAACUUGAAACUUAGUACAUAUGUUCCCUAUAGUAUAAUCUUUCUAAUUUUAAUGCCAAAUUAGAUUAUUACCCAAUUUCACGGUCCAUGGAACAUGGAAAAGGAUCGUGCGAGUGAGGCAUCCGUACUUUGGACACAUUCUUGUUGUUUCAUUAUGUUUUUAUGCCCCACCUACGAUAGUAGAGGGGCAUUAUGUUUUCUGGUCUGUGCGUCCGUUCGUUCGUCCGUCUGUCCGUCCGUCCGUCCGUCUGUCCCGCUUCAGGUUAAAGUUUUUGGUCAAGGUAGUUUUUGAUGAAGCUGAAGUCCAAUCAACUUGAAACUUAGUACAUAUGUUCCUUAUGAUAUGAUCUUUCUAAUUUUAAAGACAAAUUAAACUUUUGAACCCUAUUUCACG
This 825-nucleotide long non-coding RNA is filed under the name Mytilus galloprovincialis (Mediterranean mussel). The record is from RNAcentral. Lineage: Eukaryota; Metazoa; Mollusca; Bivalvia; Mytilida; Mytilidae.